CGCCCGGGGCGGCCCCGGGCGGGGCGGGGGCACGGGGGUUGGAGGGCAAGUCUGGUGCCAGCAGCCGCGGUAAUUCCAGCUCCAAUAGCGUAUAUUAAAGUUGUUGCAGUUAAAAAGCUCGUAGUUGAAUUUCGGGGUCAGUAGGUCGGUCAUGCCACUGGUAUGUACUGGUCUCACUGAUUCCUCCUUCCUGGAUGAACCGUAAAUGCCA
This 211-nucleotide ribosomal RNA is filed under the name Glomus sp. DGGE gel band B03. Its description in RNAcentral is "partial 18S ribosomal RNA". It matches the Rfam family "Eukaryotic small subunit ribosomal RNA", at positions 484 to 720 of the family's 1831-position model. Lineage: Eukaryota; Fungi; Glomeromycota; Glomeromycetes; Glomerales; Glomeraceae. The record is from RNAcentral.